RNAcentral lists this ribosomal RNA (355 nucleotides) under Clostridioides difficile. Its description in RNAcentral is "bacterial SSU rRNA". It matches the Rfam family "Bacterial small subunit ribosomal RNA", at positions 1136 to 1490 of the family's 1533-position model. Lineage: Bacteria; Bacillati; Bacillota; Clostridia; Peptostreptococcales; Peptostreptococcaceae. The record is from RNAcentral.
CACUCUAGAGAGACUGCCAGGGAUAACCUGGAGGAAGGUGGGGAUGACGUCAAAUCAUCAUGCCCCUUAUGCUUAGGGCUACACACGUGCUACAAUGGGUAGUACAGAGGGAUGCCAAGCCGUAAGGUGGAGCUAAUCCCUUAAAGCUACUCUCAGUUCGGAUUGUAGGCUGAAACUCGCCUACAUGAAGCGGGAGUUACUAGUAAUCGCAGAUCAGAAUGCUGCGGGGAAUGCGUUCCCGGGUCUUGUACACACCGCCCGUCACACCACGGGAGUUGGAGACGCCCGAAGCCGACUAUCUAACCUUUUGGAAGAAGUCGUCGAAGGUGGAAUCAAUAACUGGGGUGAAGUCGUA